GCUCAGAAACUUAAAGGAAUUGACGGGGGCCCGCGACAAGCGGAGGAGCAUGUGGUUUAAUUCGAUGAUACGCGAGGAACCUUACCUGGGCUUGAAAGUUAGUGACAUUCUGUGAAAGCAGAACUUCCGCAAGGACACGAAACUAGGUGCUGCAUGGCUGUCGUCAGCUCGUGCCGUGAGGUGUUGGGUUAAGUCCCGUAACGAGCGCAACCCCUAUCAUUAGUUGCCAUCAGGUCAUGCUGGGGACUCUAAUGAGACUGCCCGCGCAAGCGGUGAGGAAGGUGGGGACGACGUCAAGUCAUCACGGCCCUUACGUCCAGGGCUACACACGUGCUACAAUGGUAGAUACAGCAGGUUGCCACAUGGUAACAUGGAGCUAAUCCCAAAAGUCUAUCUCAGUUCGGAUUGAGGUCUGCAACUCGACCUCAUGAAGCUGGAUUCGCUAGUAAUCGAAAAUCAGCAAUGUUUCGGUGAAUACGUUCCCGGGCCUU
Molecule: ribosomal RNA, 491 nt
Filed under: uncultured Sphingobacteriales bacterium
Lineage: Bacteria; Pseudomonadati; Bacteroidota; Sphingobacteriia; Sphingobacteriales
Description: bacterial SSU rRNA
Rfam family: Bacterial small subunit ribosomal RNA
Source: RNAcentral